UGUCUGCUGAGCUUUUACAAGUGAUCUGCCCAAUGUGUUCAUUACAUUUAGAUAUUUAAAGUCCUUUUAACUUUUUCCACCACAUAAGAGUCUACCAUGCUUUGUCAAGCAGAUUUUGUGUGCAGUGCAAAUAUCGUGGUUGCAAUCAGUUUACUACAAGUACAGUUUUUUAAGCGUCACUGGAACAAGAAACAUGGGAGUGUUCAUGAGGAAGUUCCAGUUAAUGGUGAAUAUCAUGGAUUAACAUUAACACUUAAGUGACAAGUAACUAAUUUGUGUAUUACUAUUGUUUCAGUAAAUCAGGAAGUACAGGAAGAAACAUACACCAACCCCAGCGACGACGAGGUCACUGCCGUAGAGGCCAAAGAAAGCGAGGCCGAGGCUAAAGCAAAAAAGGCGUUCCUUCAGAGACGUAGUCUAAUAAACAAGGAAGGAUCAAAACUGACAACGAAAAAGUGCUUGGAAAUUGCACCAUGCUACGAAACAAUAAAAGGGGUGAUUGCAGGUUUGAUGAGAAUGGAGCCGAUGUGCAACAUAACACAAACAAUUUACGAAACAAAUUUCAAUGAAUUGAUAGAAAAACUCCGGGAUUUCUUGAAAUCUAAACAUCCGUCUUCCUAUAAUCCUGAAACGACUGGUGAAAAGGGCGUUUUAGAAGUUCUACUGGGGAUAAACCACAUUUGUUCAACCCGGAAAGGACGGUCAUGACCACCAUCAUUCCUAAAUUUCAAAGUUGGUACCCCAAUUGAGCCAUUGAAGAAUGGAAUAAAUCCGUAUGGUAUCUUAAUUUGGAAUAAGGAUGAGCUGAUGAUGAUGAUAUUGGCAGAGGGCUACUUAAACUACAAAAACAUCCCUGUCACUACUAUUUGUGAAGCGAUUUCCAAAAUACUUGCCAUGUACUAUGUCAUCAACUUAAAUUAUCCCGCACCCUACGGUGCCCUCGAGUUAAUUGAUCACUUUUAUCUUAUCGACAAAAAAUCAAGCCGCAAUCAGGCGAAAAAGAAGUCCAAGAAAGAAGAAAGUACCCUCGCCAUGAAGAAAUUUCUUAACGUGUUCGACAAAUUUUGUAAAUAAUCACACACAUCUCCAUUCAUGCAGUUAUAGCGAGGUUAGCAACAGGUAGCUUAAUACUUGCUAGUUUGUGUGUAUUUCUUCGUUUACGUUUAUAUUCCUCGACGUUAAGUUAACCGUUAACUAAUUUGUUUCAAAUGGGUUUGAAACUCAUAUUUGUCUUGCUUAUUGUAUAAUCUAGUUAUGUAUGUAAUGUGCCUUUGUGUCAUCC
Daphnia magna is the source of this 1282-nucleotide long non-coding RNA. RefSeq lists it as uncharacterized. The transcript is spliced from 3 exons. NCBI's taxonomy places the organism in Eukaryota, Metazoa, Arthropoda, Branchiopoda, Diplostraca, Daphniidae. The record is from RefSeq and is a predicted model, not a curated record.